ACGAACGCUGGCGGCGUGCCUAAUACAUGCAAGUAGAACGCUGAAGAGAGGAGCUUGCUCUUCUUGGAUGAGUUGCGAACGGGUGAGUAACGCGUAGGUAACCUGCCUUGUAGCGGGGGAUAACUAUUGGAAACGAUAGCUAAUACCGCAUAACAAUGGAUGACACAUGUCAUUUAUUUGAAAGGGGCAAUUGCUCCACUACAAGAUGGACCUGCGUUGUAUUAGCUAGUAGGUGAGGUAAUGGCUCACCUAGGCGACGAUACAUAGCCGACCUGAGAGGGGGAUCGGCCACACUGGGACUGAGACACGGCCCAGACUCCUACGGGAGGCAGCAGUAGGGAAUCUUCGGCAAUGGGGGCAACCCUGACCGAGCAACGCCGCGUGAGUGAAGAAGGUUUUCGGAUCGUAAAGUUCUGUUGUAAGUCAAGAACGGGUGUGAGAGUGGAAAGUUCACACUGUGACGGUAGCUUACCAGAAAGGGACGGCUAACUACGUG
RNAcentral lists this ribosomal RNA (496 nucleotides) under uncultured bacterium. RNAcentral's name for it is "partial 16S ribosomal RNA". It matches the Rfam family "Bacterial small subunit ribosomal RNA", at positions 29 to 507 of the family's 1533-position model. The record is from RNAcentral.